UGGAAACCUUAUUCUAUUUACAUGUUGCAUA
This 31-nucleotide non-coding RNA is filed under the name Rattus norvegicus (Norway rat). Lineage: Eukaryota; Metazoa; Chordata; Mammalia; Rodentia; Muridae. The record is from RNAcentral.